GACGAACGCUGGCGGCGUGCUUAACACAUGCAAGUCGAACGGAAAGGCCCUUCGGGGUACUCGAGUGGCGAACGGGUGAGUAACACGUGGGUGAUCUGCCCUGCACUUUGGGAUAAGCCUGGGAAACUGUGUCUAAUACCGAAUAGGACCACGCGCUUCAUGGUGUGUGGUGGAAAGCUUUUGCGGUGUGGGAUGGGCCCGCGGCCUAUCAGCUUGUUGGUGGGGUAAUGGCCUACCAAGGCGACGACGGGUAGCCGGCCUGAGAGGGUGACCGGCCACACUGGGACUGAGAUACGGCCCAGACUCCUACGGGAGGCAGCAGUGGGGAAUAUUGCACAAUGGGCGCAAGCCUGAUGCAGCGACGCCGCGUGAGGGAUGACGGCCUUCGGGUUGUAAACCUCUUUCAAUAGGGACGAAGCGCAAGUGACGGUACCUAUAGAAGAAGCACCGGCCAACUACGUG
RNAcentral lists this ribosomal RNA (462 nucleotides) under uncultured bacterium. RNAcentral's name for it is "partial 16S ribosomal RNA". It matches the Rfam family "Bacterial small subunit ribosomal RNA", at positions 28 to 507 of the family's 1533-position model. The record is from RNAcentral.